CCGCUGCCUUGGAGUACCAGCCACGCCUGCGCCUGGGGCCAGGGGUCAGGAUGUGACGCCAUAGCACGCGCUUGCGCAUUACUGAACUCCCCCCUCCCCACACCCGCCAUUUUAAAUUUAAAUGCCGGUGACAUGG
Molecule: non-coding RNA, 136 nt
Organism: Leptonychotes weddellii (Weddell seal)
Lineage: Eukaryota; Metazoa; Chordata; Mammalia; Carnivora; Phocidae
Source: RefSeq, a predicted model, not a curated record